Molecule: non-coding RNA, 426 nt
Organism: Pelodiscus sinensis (Chinese soft-shelled turtle)
Lineage: Eukaryota; Metazoa; Chordata; Testudines; Trionychidae
Source: RefSeq, a predicted model, not a curated record
GGCACAAGCAGAGUACGGAAGAUGGCAUCGGGACUCAUGAGCAGAAAGGAAACUAAUACAAAUUGAAAUGCAGCGAUAGGACAUGCUUUAUAAGGAGCUGCUACUCGCUACCUUGGAAACCUUGAGAAGAGCUUCCAAUUCUAGUUUCUCGCUCACGCUCUCAAGUUAUAGGAGCUACUUAUGUGAAGGAGGUGAGCAGGUUUCAGAGACUAUCACUGAUGGUAGUAAAUCUUCAGCACUUCAUUUUCCAAAUUCUGCUUCCAGCUGAUUCAGGAUGGCAGUGUGCAGUUCAUGCAGCCACCCUCUUUUUAGAAUGAAUAAAUGUACCAUCAGGCACAUUUUGCACAAUCCUCCAAGACUUCUGUACAUUCUGAAACCUCUAGGAUCUGGACGAGAAAACUUACACAUGCCAAUUUUUAUCAAAUC